This 901-nucleotide ribosomal RNA is filed under the name uncultured Verrucomicrobiota bacterium. RNAcentral describes it as "bacterial SSU rRNA". It matches the Rfam family "Bacterial small subunit ribosomal RNA", at positions 58 to 936 of the family's 1533-position model. Lineage: Bacteria; Pseudomonadati; Verrucomicrobiota. The record is from RNAcentral.
CAAGUCGGACGGGAUUACUUUUGGUAGCAAUACCGAGAGUAAUUCAGUGGCGAACGGGUGCGUAACACGUGGGCAAUUUGCCUUAAAGUGUGGGAUAGCUCGGCGAAAGCCGAAUUAAUACCGCAUGUGGCUACUGGAGACAUCUUCGGGACGCUAAAGGUGGCGCAAGCUACCGCUUUUUGAGAAGCCCGCGGCCUAUCAGCUUGUUGGUGAGGUAACGGCUCACCAAGGCGUUGACGGGUAGCUGGUCUGAGAGGACGACCAGCCACACUGGGACUGAGACACGGCCCAGACACCUACGGGUGGCAGCAGUCGAGAAUUUUUGACAAUGGGGGAAACCCUGAUCGAGCGACGCCGCGUGGAGGAUGAAGGUCUUCGGGUUGUAAACUCCUGUCAUUUGGGAACAAGGCGUAUUUAUUAACUGUAAGUACGUUGAUAGUACCAGAAGAGGAAGAGACGGCUAACUCUGUGCCAGCAGCCGCGGUAAUACAGAGGUCUCAAGCGUUGUUCGGAUUCAUUGGGCGUAAAGGGUGUGUAGGUGGCGCGCUAAGUCGGGUGUGAAAUUUCGGAGCUUAACUCCGAAACUGCAUUCGAUACUGGCGUGCUUGAGGACUGGAGAGGAGACUGGAAUUUACGGUGUAGCAGUGAAAUGCGUAGAUAUCGUAAGGAAGACCAGUGGCGAAGGCGGGUCUCUGGACAGUUCCUGACACUGAGACACGAAGGCCAGGGGAGCAAACGGGAUUAGAUACCCCGGUAGUCCUGGCAGUAAACGGUGCACGUUUGGUGUGGGAGGAUUCGACCCCUUCUGCGCCGGAGCCAACGCGUUAAACGUGCCGCCUGGGGAGUACGGUCGCAAGAUUAAAACUCAAAGAAAUUGACGGGGGCCCGCACAAGCGGUGGA